CAGUAAGCGGAGGAAAAGAAACUAACUAGGAUUCCUUAGUAACGGCGAGUGAACAGGGAAAAGCCCAGCACCGAAUCUCCCGUCCCAUUAUGUGGGCGAGGCGAAAUGUGGUGUGUGGGAGGAAGUCUCUUCAGACUGCAGCAAGCCUAAGUCCCCCUGACUGGGGCCACAACCCAUGGCGGGUGCAAGGCCCUUUCGGCUGAUUCUGCAGUUCUCGAGGUCGACUACCUCUCUAGAGUCGGGUUGCUUGAAAGUGCAGCCCUAAGCGGGUGGUAAACUCCAUCUAAGGCUAAAUACUUCCACGAGACCGAUAGCAAACAAGUACCGUGAGGGAAAGUUGCAAAGAACUUUGAAGAGAGAGUUCAAGAGUACGUGAAACCGCUUGGAGGUAAACGGGUGGGCCCUCGAAGGUCGAACGGGGGGAUUCAACCCGUCGCCUAAAAUUCUCCGGUGUAGUCUGAUAAACGCGGUGAUGCACGCAUUUAAACGUACCCUGAAAGACGGGACGGCCGUAACACCAAUGGAGAAGGGCGGCGGGCGCAGUUCCCCCUUAGUAGGACGCCGCGACCGGUCGGGUCAGAAUAAAAACCUGGUAAUUGCAGCCAAGAGGCGCGAAAAUUGGGCAGGUGACCGUUGCUGCGAUCGCCACUUCGGUGCUGUAAUUCGAUUACGGCCGGAGAACGGCCUCACGGCCGGGCGACCAGUCGGAGUUAUAGCCCAUCGCGACCCGUCAUUUGCUCUGCAACCCGACCGAAUAAGUCACCAUAAAAACGGUCGACGCGUGCCCGCGUUCGUUUUCAYUAACGAAACGCGCACCUCGGCAUUGGCAGGCAGCGAUCAGAUGCAAGACUUUGUGCAUUUUAGACUUGCGCACGUCGACAAACUCGACGGGCGUCGGUCCUGAUUGCGCCGCAAAGCCUUUGCCCGCCUUCUGGUGCGGUGGCAAGCUUGACGUUCUGCGGCGAGUAGGUCGGUAACCCACCCNNNNNNNNNNNNNNNNNNNNNNNNNNNNNNNNNNNNNNNNNUNNNNNNNNNNGUACGCUUGCGGUGGUUGCAUUUCUCAGAUUUUUGUGAUCGUCUUUGUGCGGCUGGAGACGUAAAAGUUUCCUCCGUAAUCCGUAAGCGGCCGAGGCAGGAUCCCGUGGAGAUAAAUAUAUAUGGCUUAGCGGUGAGUUGCGUCGUCUUGUGCUGCUUUCCUCUUUCUUCGGGAAGGGGUUGCGGUCGAGGCGGCGUCGCGUUCGGAGCCGCGGCUAAAAUCUCCAGUAACCGAAUCGAACGGCGGGACGUUUUCCUCGCGAGAACCAGUUCUCGGAUGGGCGCUCUCGUAUUCCUCGCACCUCUGCAUGUGCCACGGUCCUCUUACGGCCUUUUGACUCGUUCUCUUUUUUUUCCUUUUCCUCUCUCUUCCAAUCUGGGAGAUUGGGGUUGGAAUGGAGGAGGCGAGAAAGAGAGGUUUGGUUCGGGCACGCAAGUCGAGGUAAUGGAGAUGUUUCGCUCGGAGGAUGUCUGGCAAAAUAUAACGUUCCCCACUGUUUCUCUAAAAAAGAGAUUGCCGUACGUUUCGGGGGCGCACUGCCGGCCCGUUUCGACCGCCCUCGGUGCUCGUGGUCACACGAUAACAUCCGCGAAUGCUCCGGACGUUUUUAAAACCAUCGCUUUUCCUUUAUUCGGGUUUUUCCUCGGAGUUUUACCUUUACGGGUCUUUCUCCGGGGUUGCUCGGUGGGUUGCGUUGGGCGUUCGGCUAGGCGCGCGGGGGGCCCGAAAGUCGGUGAGGCGGAGCAAGAGCACACACGUUGGGACCCGAAAGAUGGUGAACUAUGCCCGGGCAGGACGAAGCCAGAGGAAACUCUGGUGGAGGUCCGUAGCGAUUCUGACGUGCAAAUCGAUCGUCGGACCUGGGUAUAGGGGCGAAAGNNNNNNNNNNNNNNNNNNNNNNNNNNNNNNNNNNAAGUUUCCCUCAGGAUAGCUGGUGCUCGGAGUAAAUAAAAGUUUCAUCCGGUAAAGCGAAUGAUUAGAGGCCUUGGGGUCGAAACGACCUCAACCUAUUCUCAAACUUUCAAUGGGUGAGAAGUCCGGCUUGCUUAAAAGCGCAAACAGAGACAAAAUAACCGAAAUCUUAUAAAAAUUGCGAUUGUUGCGUGGUUACCGAGGGGGUGUCGCGGAUGCCAAGCCCUAACCGAACGGCUCUCGUAUGCCUUUAGUUGAGUCGGUCGGCGGGCAAUGCCGUGGCACACAUAUUAACCUUCGGUUCGACCAUCUCUCGCGUUUGAAGCACGGACGUAGAAUGCGAGUGCCCAGUGGGCCACUUUUGGUAAGCAGAACUGGCGCUGUGGGAUGAACCAAACGUCGGGUUACGGCGCCCAAUGCAGACGCUCAUCAGAGCCCAUGAAAGGUGUUGGUUGCUAUUGACAGCAGGACGGUGGCCAUGGAAGUCGGAANNNNNNNNNNNNNNNNNNNNNNNNNNNNNNNUUCCAUGUGAACAGCAGUUGAACAUGGGUCAGUCGGCCCUAAGGAAUAGGGGAAACCCGUUCCGAAAGUCGGGAAGUAUAUAAAAUGAAAUAAAAUGAUAAAAAUACCGAAAGGCCUUCGGCGUGACGGUAGUGUUGRCAGUWUGAUCCACGGACGUGUGCAUGUGUCAUGCGUAUUCGCGGCGCGGGUUGACUCAGCCUAUUGCUGGGGCCUGUGUCGUUUGUUUGCGUGUGGUUUGUGUAGCGUGGGAGUUUUGGGUCUGCUGUCUCGCCUCCGUGCAUGUCGUCGUGUUUUGACGUGUUAAAAUCAUAAAUAACAAACAAAAAAAUACUCCCGGCGUACCGAAAGGGAAUCGGGUUAAUAUUCCCGAACCAGGACGCAGAGAUUGCCUCUCGUGGGGCAAAAGCGGUAACGCAUUAACGAACUCGGAGACGUCGGCAAAAGUCCCGGAAAGAGUUUUCUUUUCUUUGUAAGGGACCGAGUCCAUGGAAUCGGUUCGACCGGAGAUAUGGAUGUCGUCCCCGUAAAGCACCGCGGCUCUUGCGGUGUCCGGUGAACUCUUGUCGGCCCUUGAAAAUCCGAGGGAGUGAUAAUGAUUUCUGCACCUGGCCGUACCCAUAUCCGCAGCAGGUCUCCAAGGUGAACAGCCUCUAGUCGAUAGAACA
Molecule: ribosomal RNA, 3135 nt
Filed under: Ballophilus australiae
Lineage: Eukaryota; Metazoa; Arthropoda; Chilopoda; Geophilomorpha; Ballophilidae
Description: partial 28S ribosomal RNA
Rfam family: Eukaryotic large subunit ribosomal RNA
Source: RNAcentral